UGCAGUCGACGACUCUGGUAUUGAUUGGUGCUUGCAUCAUGAUUUACAUUUGAGUGAGUGGCGAACUGGUGAGUAACACGUGGGAAACCUGCCCAGAAGCGGGGGAUAACACCUGGAAACAGAUGCUAAUACCGCAUAACAACUUGGACCGCAUGGUCCGAGUUUGAAAGAUGGCUUCGGCUAUCACUUUUGGAUGGUCCCGCGGCGUAUUAGCUAGAUGGUGGGGUAACGGCUCACCAUGGCAAUGAUACGUAGCCGACCUGAGAGGGUAAUCGGCCACAUUGGGACUGAGACACGGCCCAAACUCCUACGGGAGGCAGCAGUAGGGAAUCUUCCACAAUGGACGAAAGUCUGAUGGAGCAACGCCGCGUGAGUGAAGAAGGGUUUCGGCUCGUAAAACUCUGUUGUUAAAGAAGAACAUAUCUGAGAGUAACUGUUCAGGUAUUGACGGUAUUUAACCAGAAAGCCACGGCUAACUACGUGCCAGCAGCCGCGGUAAUACGUAGGUGGCAAGCGUUGUCCGGAUUUAUUGGGCGUAAAGCGAGCGCAGGCGGUUUUUUAAGUCUGAUGUGAAAGCCUUCGGCUCAACCGAAGAAGUGCAUCGGAAACUGGGAAACUUGAGUGCAGAAGAGGACAGUGGAACUCCAUGUGUAGCGGUGAAAUGCGUAGAUAUAUGGAAGAACACCAGUGGCGAAAGCGGCUGUCUGGUCUGUAACUGACGCUGAGGCUCGAAAGUAUGGGUAGCAACAGGAUUAGAUACCCUGGUAGUCCAUACCGUAACGAUGAUGCUAGUGUUGGAGGGUUUCCGUCCUUCAGUGCUGCAGCUAACGCAUUAAGCAUUCCGCC
RNAcentral lists this ribosomal RNA (846 nucleotides) under Lactiplantibacillus plantarum. RNAcentral's name for it is "bacterial SSU rRNA". It matches the Rfam family "Bacterial small subunit ribosomal RNA", at positions 56 to 873 of the family's 1533-position model. Lineage: Bacteria; Bacillati; Bacillota; Bacilli; Lactobacillales; Lactobacillaceae. The record is from RNAcentral.